GUUCUAAUAUUGUGGAGUUGCUGCUUUACAUAAUUGUUUUAAAUAAUAAUAAAUAUUGAUUGCUUUUAUUACAGGUGUAUGAGGUAAGAUGAUGUUUAAAUGAGUUUCUAUAUUGAUAGCCGGAUAACUUCAUCUGAUGACGUAUAGUCUAUAUGCACUUUCUCAAGUGGCUUAAAGAUAAGAUAUGUAUAAACGAUAAUAAGUAUUUCGCUUGAUGACGUUGAGAGGAGCCUCAACGAAAAUUUAAUGUCGCUUUGAUUAAUUAACCACACUAACUAAUCUUAUUAUACUUUAUUCAUGAGGUGAAGGGGCUGGGGCUGUUGUCGAGUGCCCUUUAGAAAAUAAGGUGUGUCAUCGGUUAAAGAGACGUGGUUUGGUCCCGGAUUGUACCGUGAAUAACCUCGUGAGUUUUCUCUGAGAGGUUUCGUAAUGAAGAUGAGAGCCACAUGUCGGUCUUGAAAUGGUCUAGUUGAUGUUCGAAUUAGUGUGUAUUACCCAGGGGGGGGGGGUACAAUCUGUUAACAAAACUGGACAUACAUUCAAAAAUUGUAUUACUUUUCUUGGAUGGCAGAGUUUGACAAUGUCCCUUUUGCCACCCCUAAAUUCACACCUCCUACCGCCACAUAAUAUAUAUUUCGGGACUAACAUAAUAUAGGGGUCUUUAGCAGUAGGAAGAACCAGGUGGACUCGGAGAAAACACAUUAAAUUUGACAGGUGACGCUACUCCUUGUCACGAACAAGUGGGUAAUCGAAACCACGCCAACUGACAGAACCUCUGAUCCAACGCACACGCGUUAGCCAUUCACCCCCCCCCCCCCAACUUAAAUGAAAUAUGCUUUGACGUCCCACUUUUCUACACCGACUGGGCUAAUGAAGAUAUGUGAUAUGAGGAACUUUGUGACUACGCGUACUUCAAAUUUCAACUGUCAAGAGAUCACUUACAUGUACGCUUAUGUGUACAAGAGAUCUCGGUUUUUAUUCCCAUCCGAACGACUAAUAUAAGUUUAGUGAUGAUAACCUUUCUGUUAUUACCAUACCAAAGUUAGAUAUUUAUUGCUAAACCCAUUUCUCCAUAUUAUAUUAAUACAUUAUUCUAUUUCUUUUUGAAUGUGUUUGUAAAUUAAUAAAAUUAUAAUUCUUUCUUGAAUAGGAACUUCGAGUAUAUUAGUGAGGAGGAUUACCAGAGAAAUCAUCACUAGAAUAUAAAGAUAGACCUACAUAAUAUCAACCCAUAGCAACCGACCUUUAUAUGUCUAAAGUUUGAUUACAGUGGUUGCUAAAAUUUUGUCUGCAAAAAUAGCAAUCUAUUCCUAGUCUUCAAAAUAAAACUCUCGAUUAACAUGACGUGGCUAUUUAUGAGGCAAUAAGUUGGAUGUUGAGUAAACAUAGUUAAAGUAUAAUUAUUUAUUAUUUGUCGUCUAUUUAUUUUGGAAUUAAGGCGGGAGAAAUCAGCCUCACUUCUGACUAUUUUGUCUAUUGUUUAUUUGUAAACGGAGAUGCUGAUUAGCUAUAAAUAGUUCGCGGAUCAGACUAAACGUUACGGGGGUAAUCAGCCUCAAUUUUGGUUUGUAUUUUUAUCUAUUGUUUAUUUGUAAGGUCGCAGAUCAGAUCAACGCCUGGGAUCAGUCAUAAUGCUAAUUAAUCUGAACUUUUGGAUUUAUUUGAUCAUACUACCGUCGAGAUUUAAUUACAUCUAUCUAUACUAAUAUUUGUGACUUUCGUUUGUCUGUCUCUUUUUCUGUCUGUCUGUCUGUCUGGCGGCUACACUAGGUCUGCCCCGAGUCUGAAAUUUGGGGUAUAGGGGAGUAACAUAGGCCACGUGGCGUUAGUCUACCACUUCCGGUUUCGGGGUUAUGACCCCCGAGCGAAGCCUGUCUGUUCGGGGUUGGCGGCUACACUAGGUCUGUCCCGAGUCUGAAACUUGGGGUAUAGGGGUAGCUCGGACCGGGGAGUAACAUAGGCCAGGUGGCGUUAGUCUACCACUUCCGGUUCCGGGGUUAUGACCCCCGAACGAAGCCGGGUAUCCUGCUAGUCAAUUAAUAUAUGUCAUAAAACAACAUGUGUAUGUAACAUCAUAAUAGACUCUCCAAAAAAAAAAAACGCCAUGUGACAUUUUGUCGUCGGUAUAUCUUUGCUCUACCAUCGCCUCGUUACAACAGGAACCGCGACACGUCGUUGAACCAAACUGCUCUCCAGUGUUGCUGUGGCCAUACCCUUUGUGUCUGAACCCACUGAAGUUGGAUUUCACGACGUCGGCGUAUUUCAAAACAGGAGCUGUAACAGGGACGCCUGGCUCGUAAUCCGGUUUCACGUUGGCGUUUACGGACUGUCUGGUCUGAGAUUAUACGCCGUCCGGGAACUGUUGCUGCAGUAGAGGUCGCUGUGGAGAACCGUUUCCGCCAAUGACGUAACCGGAAGUGGCGAUCCAGGACAGGUGGGGUCACUCUUGUUUGGCCUGAGCUUGGGUGGUCACGUGUUGAACUUCGCUCUCGGUACCUAUCCCAAAGGCGUAAAAUAGAACUCAGGGAACAUUCAACAGUCUGGCUACAUCUGUCUGGGAUUCAACUGCUUGUAAUCGACCAAGAGCAUUGUUGCGUUGGUCUUCGUUCAGAUGUGGCACCACUUGGUUCUUUGAGUGUUUACAUGUGCAACGGAUUUCGAAACCGGGAACCCCGGGAUUUUAAAGGCUUUAGAUUUAGGUUCCAUGCGAAAAGCUCGUUGUUAAAUUCAUAUGUCUUGGUGCAAUCAAGCGAACACAAAUUUCGGCAUAAAGGAUGACUAGUCAUUAUUAGUGACCCUACAUUUAAAACCAAUAAUGAAUUUCUUUUAUCCUUAAUGACAUUAAAAACAAAUAAGAUUUAUGGAAACAACGAUCUCGUUCAAAUAAAAAAAUGAAAAAUGG
Molecule: long non-coding RNA, 2902 nt
Organism: Patella vulgata (common limpet)
Lineage: Eukaryota; Metazoa; Mollusca; Gastropoda; Patellidae
Exons: 3
Source: RefSeq, a predicted model, not a curated record